Molecule: transfer RNA, 80 nt
Filed under: Streptomyces globisporus
Lineage: Bacteria; Bacillati; Actinomycetota; Actinomycetes; Kitasatosporales; Streptomycetaceae
Description: tRNA-Ser
Source: RNAcentral
CGCCGGGUGCACGGCCGGGGCCGGUGUCGCUCUGCUGGUGCGGGAGCUGGCCCGCCCGGUUCCGGCGCUCGGCCCGGCGU